This 444-nucleotide ribosomal RNA is filed under the name uncultured bacterium. Its description in RNAcentral is "bacterial SSU rRNA". It matches the Rfam family "Bacterial small subunit ribosomal RNA", at positions 338 to 795 of the family's 1533-position model. The record is from RNAcentral.
CCUACGGGGGGGCAGCAGUGGGGAAUUUUCCGCAAUGGGCGAAAGCCUGACGGAGCAAGACCGCGUGGGGGAAGAAGGCUCUUGGGUUGUAAACUCCUUUUCUCUGGGAAGAACAAAAUGACGGUACCAGAGGAAUCAGCAUCGGCUAACUCCGUGCCAGCAGCCGCGGUAAGACGGAGGAUGCAAGCGUUAUCCGGAAUGAUUGGGCGUAAAGCGUCCGCAGGUGGCAGUUCAAGUCUGCUGUCAAAGACCGGGGCUCAACCUCGGAAAGGCAGUGGAAACUGAACAGCUAGAGUAUGGUAGGGGCAAAGGGAAUUCCUGGUGUAGCGGUGAAAUGCGUAGAGAUCAGGAAGAACAUCGGUGGCGAAGGCGCUUUGCUGGACCAUAACUGACACUCAGGGACGAAAGCUAGGGGAGCGAAUGGGAUUAGAUACCCCAGUAGUC